This 501-nucleotide ribosomal RNA is filed under the name uncultured bacterium. RNAcentral describes it as "partial 16S ribosomal RNA". It matches the Rfam family "Bacterial small subunit ribosomal RNA", at positions 30 to 523 of the family's 1533-position model. The record is from RNAcentral.
AUUGAACGCUGGCGGCAGGCUUAACACAUGCAAGUCGAGCUGGGGAAGGUAGCUUGCUACCGGACCUAGCGGCGGACGGGUGAGUAAUGCUUAGGAAUCUGCCUAUUAGUGGGGGACAACAUCUCGAAAGGGAUGCUAAUACCGCAUACGUCCUACGGGAGAAAGCAGGGGAUCUUCGGACCUUGCGCUAAUAGAUGAGCCUAAGUCGGAUUAGCUAGUUGGUGGGGUAAAGGCCUACCAAGGCGACGAUCUGUAGCGGGUCUGAGAGGAUGAUCCGCCACCCUGGGACUGAGACACGGCCCAGACUACAACUGGAGGCAGCAGUGGGGAAUAUUGGACAAUGGGGGGAACCCUGAUCCAGCCAUGCCGAGUGUGUGAAGAAGGCCUUAUGGUUGUCAAGCACUUUAAGCGAGGAGGAGGCUACUCUAGUUAAUACCUAGGGAUAGUGGACGUUACUCGCAGAAUAAGCACCGGCUAACUCUGUGCCAGCCGCCGCAGUAA